This 429-nucleotide ribosomal RNA is filed under the name Pseudomonadota bacterium. Its description in RNAcentral is "Proteobacteria bacterium partial 16S ribosomal RNA". It matches the Rfam family "Bacterial small subunit ribosomal RNA", at positions 355 to 776 of the family's 1533-position model. Lineage: Bacteria; Pseudomonadati; Pseudomonadota. The record is from RNAcentral.
UGGGGAAUAUUGGACAAUGGGCGAAAGCCUGAUCCAGCCAUGCCGCGUGUGUGAAGAAGGUCUGCGGAUUGUAAAGCACUUUAAGUUGGGAGGAAGGGCAGUAAGCGAAUACCUUGCUGUUUUGACGUUACCGACAGAAUAAGCACCGGCUAACUCUGUGCCAGCAGCCGCGGUAAUACAGAGGGUGCAAGCGUUAAUCGGAAUUACUGGGCGUAAAGCGCGCGUAGGUGGUUCGUUAAGUUGAAUGUGAAAGCCCCGGGCUCAACCUGGGAACUGCAUCCAAAACUGGCGAGCUAGAGUAGGGCAGAGGGUGGUGGAAUUUCCUGUGUAGCGGUGAAAUGCGUAGAUAUAGGAAGGAACACCAGUGGCGAAGGCGACCACCUGGGCUCAUACUGACACUGAGGUGCGAAAGCGUGGGGAGCAAACAGG